AUGAAUAUAUAAUUGUAUGAAAGUUUCGUUUAGAAAUUUUAUUGUUUGAAUGCUCAAUUCGAUAAAAAAGACUAAAUCGCGUAAAGUGCAAAAGUAUUGUUCUAAUAGUUAAAGGUAUCUAUUAGCUAUGGAUUAUAAAGUAAAGGUCCUUAUGUGAUGAAUAAUCCAUUAACUUACUUAGUGGACAAUUUUGGACAUUAAAUAGAUAAUAUUAAUGGUUUUAUACUAAGGGUUAAUUAGGUAAAUAUGUUAAUAAACCAAAAUAAACAAAACCCAAAUUAUCAAAUUUAUCAAUAAACCCUAACCCAAAUACAAAAUAGGCCCGUUGGCCUAAAACCUAAACUAAGUUUUCAGUAAACUAGGAAACCCUAGGUCCUUAUGCGCCGCUCCUCCAUGUGCGCCGUACUCCAGCUCCAGUGUGCACACCGCUCAAGGCUCGCCAACUCUUCUACCACACCUGCAAAACGAAAGCAAAAAAAAGAAACCAAGACAGAAGGCAGGAACACGAAAAGCAAAAGGACUAGCAAAAUAGAUGGUGAUUUUGUAACAUUCUUGGCUAUAAGAAGCCAUUUUCAAACAGAUGUAAGAGGGAGGGGGAUUAAUAAAAAAAAAACCAAAAGCAGAUUGUAGAAGAGAAAAAAGAGAAAACAGAGAAUAUUAAACAAUCAAAAAAUCGAAGCAAUCAAAAAAGGGGAAAAAGGUUGAACUCCAUUCUCUCAUUUCUGUUUCUUUAUAUCUUUGAUUUUUUUAUUAUUUAAAUCAGUUUUAAAACAAAUAAGGGAGAAAUGAUGAAAGAAAAUACUUACCCGAGCCUUGAAUCAUUGGUGUAUCGUCGGAGUUCUUCUCCGUUAAAACCGAAUCCAACAAAGGUGGGAACUUUCUUUUUGAUUCUUCAUGAUGGGAAGUGUCAGAUCCUUGAAUAUGGAUCUAAAUGGGGUUAAAGAACGAGAAACCACCCUCCGUCGACCACCGUUUGCGGUGGCUACAUGGCGGCUAGGGUUUGGUCUACUUAGGGCUCGCACAAAUGGGGAAAAGAGGGAGUGUUUCAGACUUUUUUUUAGAAAAGGAAGAAGAAUAAUUGAAAAAAAACUUAAAACUGGUUUAAA
Molecule: long non-coding RNA, 1106 nt
Filed under: Gossypium barbadense (sea-island cotton)
Lineage: Eukaryota; Viridiplantae; Streptophyta; Magnoliopsida; Malvales; Malvaceae
Description: long non-coding RNA (GBAR_LNC000166)
Source: RNAcentral